Potamilus streckersoni is the source of this 74-nucleotide non-coding RNA. The record is from the annotation of a GenBank genome assembly. NCBI's taxonomy places the organism in Eukaryota, Metazoa, Mollusca, Bivalvia, Unionida, Unionidae.
AUUCUUAACCUAAGUGGUAAAAUCGUCUGUCUCGGAUGCAGGAUAUCGUGGGUUCGAACCCCAGCCGAGAAAUA